UGGGGGAUAUUGCACAAUGGGCGAAAGCCUGAUGCAGCGACGCCGCGUGGGGGAUGAAGGCUUUCGGGUUGUAAACCUCUUUCGCUAUCCAACAAGGCCCGCUUAGGGUGGGUUGAGGGUAGGUGGAGAAGAAGCGCCGGCUAACUACGUGCCAGCAGCCGCGGUAAUACGUAGGGCGCGAGCGUUGUCCGGAAUUAUUGGGCGUAAAGGGCUUGUAGGCGGCUUGUUGCGCCUGCUGUGAAAACGCGGGGCUUAACUUCGCGCGUGCAGUGGGUACGGGCAGGCUUGAGUGUGGUAAGGGUGACUGGAAUUCCAGGUGUAGCGGUGGAAUGCGCAGAUAUCUGGAGGAACACCGAUGGCGAAGGCAGGUCACUGGGCCAUUACUGACGCUGAGGAGCGAAAGCAUGGGUAGCGAACAGG
Molecule: ribosomal RNA, 420 nt
Filed under: bacterium
Lineage: Bacteria
Description: partial 16S ribosomal RNA
Rfam family: Bacterial small subunit ribosomal RNA
Source: RNAcentral